Molecule: ribosomal RNA, 484 nt
Filed under: uncultured bacterium
Lineage: Bacteria
Description: partial 16S ribosomal RNA
Rfam family: Bacterial small subunit ribosomal RNA
Source: RNAcentral
GAUGAACGCUGGCGGCGUGCUUAACACAUGCAAGUCGAACGAUGAAGCCGGAGCUUGCUCUGGUGGAUUAGUGGCGAACGGGUGAGUAACACGUGAGUAACCUGCCCUUGACUCUGGGAUAAGCGCUGGAAACGGCGUCUAAUACCGGAUACGAGCUUCCACCGCAUGGUGAGUUGCUGGAAAGAAUUUCGGCCAAGGAUGGACUCGCGGCCUAUCAGCUUGUUGGUGAGGUAACGGCUCACCAAGGCGACGACGGGUAGCCGGCCUGAGAGGGUGACCGGCCACACUGGGACUGAGACACGGCCCAGACUCCUACGGGAGGCAGCAGUGGGGAAUAUUGCACAAUGGGCGCAAGCCUGAUGCAGCAACGCCGCGUGAGGGACGAAGGCCUUCGGGUCGUAAACCUCUUUUAGCGGGGAAGAAGCGAAAGUGACGGUACCUGCAGAAAAAGCACCGGCUAACUACGUGCCAGCCGCCGCGGUAA